GUGAGGAAUUUUCCGCAAUGGGCGAAAGCCUGACGGAGCAAUGCCGCGUGAAGGAUGAAGGCCUAUGGGUUGUAAACUUCUUUUCUCAGAAAAGAAUUAUGACGGUAUCUGAGGAAUAAGCAUCGGCUAACUCUGUGCCAGCAGCCGCGGUAAGACAGAGGAUGCAAGCGUUAUCCGGAAUGAUUGGGCGUAAAGCGUCUGUAGGUUGUUUAAAAAGUAUUCUGUCAAAGAUUAGGGCUUAACCCUAGAUAGGCAGAAUAAACUUUUAAGCUAGAGUUUGGUAGAGGCAGAGGGAAUUCCCGGUGGAGCGGUGAAAUGCGUAGAUGUCGGGAGGAACACCAAAGGCGAAGGCACUCUGCUGGGCCAAUACUAACACUGAGAGACGAAAGCGAGGGGAGCAAAUGGGAUUAGAUACCCGAGUAGUCC
Molecule: ribosomal RNA, 426 nt
Filed under: uncultured bacterium
Lineage: Bacteria
Description: partial 16S ribosomal RNA
Rfam family: Bacterial small subunit ribosomal RNA
Source: RNAcentral